Podarcis lilfordi (Lilford's wall lizard) is the source of this 283-nucleotide non-coding RNA. Lineage: Eukaryota; Metazoa; Chordata; Lepidosauria; Squamata; Lacertidae. The record is from the annotation of a GenBank genome assembly.
CAGAGGCAUCACAUGCAAUGUGAUUAUUUCCUAUUUGCAUAAACUCCACGUUAACGGGGCAAAAGUGGGAGGGGUGUCUCCGCAGUUCACCUGGUGAAGGCUGAGCUCAACUGGGUGUCCUGAUCAGUGCUGGAUUUACAUAUAAGCUAAACAAGCUAUAGCUUAGGGCCCCACUCUCUUAGGCCCCCCCCAAAAAAAAAAUUAAAGGAAAAUAAAACUGGAUGUACAUUUCCAAAAUAUAAGAUAAAAAACAAAUAGAAUAAAACCUACAUACAGCAACAGU